GCCUUCGUGGUGUAGUGGUCAGCACGCUCGACGCGUAAUCGAGAGGUCCGUGGUUCGAUUCCCGGCGAAGGAG
RNAcentral lists this transfer RNA (73 nucleotides) under Stegodyphus mimosarum. It matches the Rfam family "tRNA". Rfam says of the family: Transfer RNA (tRNA) molecules are approximately 80 nucleotides in length. The record is from Rfam by way of RNAcentral. Lineage: Eukaryota; Metazoa; Arthropoda; Arachnida; Araneae; Eresidae.